This is a long non-coding RNA of Equus caballus (horse), 2505 nucleotides long. The record is from Ensembl. NCBI's taxonomy places the organism in Eukaryota, Metazoa, Chordata, Mammalia, Perissodactyla, Equidae.
CCUCUGCUCUGACCUGUCGUCUCUCACUGCCCCACACCGCUGCUCCACCUGGCACCACCACUGGCAGUUCCCAGAACAGAACAUGAGCUGCAGCUGUGGGAUGUGGGACGCCGCCUCUACAUGGCCUGACGAGUGGUGCCAUGUCCGCGCCCAGGAUCGGAACCCUGGGCCGCCGCAGCGGAGCGCGUGAACUUAACCACUUGGCCAUGGGGCCGGCCCCUAUUAUUAACUUCUUAUGUUAGUAUGAUAGAUUUGCGCAGAGAACACGAUACUGCACCGGAAGAGUGAGGCAGCUUCUAGUUUGUUCUUGGAAGCACUUGCACAGUGACUCUGAGCUGCCAUGUAGACAGUGUGACUUCUCUGAAGCCGCCAUCCUGUGAGGAAGCUCAAACUAGCCCAUGCAGAGAGCCCACACCUUGAGAAAGAGAUGCCCGGCCAGCCCCUGCUUGCUCCAGCUCCUCCCCUCUGACACUGUUCCAGUUCUGGUUACUAUCUGACAACAAAGAAUGAGCUGGAACCACCCAGCCAAGACUUCCCGGAGUUCCUGAUUUAUAGAGUCUGUGGAAGAUGAUAAAACAAUUGUUGUUUUAAGUGAUUAAGUUUUGGGGUGAUUUAUUUCAUAGCAAUAUUUGUCAGAACAUCAAAACAUACUAUAUAUAAAGUUUCAAUAAUUAAAACAAUAUAGUACCAGCACACAAAUAGACCAAUAGAAGAGAAAAUCCAAAAAUGGACCCAAAUACAUAAAGAAUUUAGCAUACAUAAAAAGUGGCAUCUCAAGUCAGUUGGUCUUUUUAAUAAAUGGUGUUGCAACAACUGGGUACCUAUCUCCAAAAAAUAAAGUUGGAUCUAUACUUUACAUCAUAUAUCAAAAUAAACUCCAAAUGGACCAAAGAUUUAAACAUAAAAAAUCAAACCUAUGAAAGAACUAGAAGAACACGUGGAUGAAUUCCCUCAUAACUGUGGAUUGGGUAAGGUUUCUAACUAAGCCUCAAAAUCCAUAGACUUUAAACGAAAAGAUUAAUCAAAUUUACUACAUAUAAAAAUCCUUACCUAACAUAUGAUCUAUCUUGGAAAAUGUUCCAUGUGCACUUGAGAAGAAUGUGUAUUCUGUUGCUUUUGGAUGGAAUGUUCUAUAAAUAUCCGUUAAGUCCAUCUGGUCUGAUGUGUCAUUUGAGGCCAAUAUUUCCUUGCUGGUUUUCUGUCUGGGUGAUCUAUCCAUUGAUGUAAGUAGAGUAUUCAAGUCCCCUGCUAUUAUUGUAUUGUUGUCUAUUUCUCCCUUUAGGUCUGUUAAUAAUUGCUUUAUAUAUUUGGGUGCUCCUAUGUUGGGUGAAUAAUAUUUACAAAUGUUUCAUUCUCUUUUGGAUUGACCCCUUUAUUGUCAUGUAACACCCUUCUUUGUCUCUUAUCACAGUCUUUCUUUUAAAGUUAAUUUGUCUGAUAUAAAUAUAGCUACUCCAGUUCUGUUUUGGUUUCGAUUUGCAUGGAAUAUCUUUUUCCAUCCUUUCACUUUCAGUCUGUGUGUGUCCUUACAUCUAAGUGAGUCUCUUGUAGGCAAGUCUUAAUAAAUUUAAUAGGAUUGAAAUCACAUCAGGCAUCUUUUCUGACCACAAUGCUAUAAAACUAAAAAUUAAUUACGUGAAUAAAACUGGAAAAUUCACAAAUAUGUGGAGACUGAAGAAUAUGCCACUGAAUAACCAAUGGGUCAAAGAAGAAAUCAAACGAGAAAUAAAAAAUCUUGAGACAAAUAAAAAUGGAAAUGUAACAUACCAAAAUUUAUAAAUGAGAUGCAGCAAAGGCAGUUCCAAGAGGAAAGUACAUAACAAUAAAUGCCUACCUCAAGAAACAAGAAAAGUCUCAAAUAAGCAACCUAACUUUAUACUUUAGGAACUAUAAAAAGAACAAAUGAAGCCCGAAGUUAGUAGGAGGAGGGAAAUAACGAAGAGUAGAGCAGAAAUAAAGGAAACAGACACUAAAAAGACAAUAUAAAAGAUCAAUGAAACUAAGAGUCGAUUCUUUGAAAUCAAAAUUGACAAACCUUUAGCUAGAUUCAUUCAGAAAACGGGAGAAAGAGAACUCAAAUAAAUAGAGUCAGAAAUGAAAGAAGAGACAUUACAGCUGAUAACACAGAAAUACAAAAUAUCAUAAGAGACUACUGUGAACAAUUAUCUGCCAACAAAUUGGACAACUUAGAAGAAAUGGAUAAACUCCUAGAAACAUACAACCUACCAAGACUGAAUCAUGAUGAAACAGAAAAUCUGAACAGACAGAUUACUAGUAAGGAGAUUGAAUCAGUAAUCAAAAACCUCCCAACAAACAAAAGUCCAGGACCAGAUGGCUUCCCUGGUGAAUUCAAAGAAGAUUUAAUACGUAUCCUCAAACUUCCAAAAAAUAGAAGAAGGGGAAACUCUUCCAAACUCAUUUUAUGAUGCCAGCAUUACCCUGAUAUCAAACCCAGACAAGGAUGCCACAAGAAAAGAAAAUUACAGGCCAAUAUCCCUGAUGAGC